AGUGAACGCUGGCGGUAGGCCUAACACAUGCAAGUCGAACGGCAGCACAGUAAGAGCUUGCUCUUACGGGUGGCGAGUGGCGGACGGGUGAGGAAUACAUCGGAAUCUACUUUUUCGUGGGGGAUAAUGUAGGGAAACUUACGCUAAUACCGCAUACGACCUACGGGUGAAAGCAGGGGAUCUUCGGAUCUUGCGCGAUUGAAUGAGCCGAUGUCGGAUUAGCUAGUUGGCGGGGUAAAGGCCCACCAAGGCGACGAUCCGUAGCUGGUCUGAGAGGAUGAUCAGCCACACUGGAACUGAGACACGGUCCAGACUCCUACGGGAGCCAGCAGUGGGGAAUAUUGGACAAUGGGCGCAAGCCUGAUCCAGCCAUACCGCGUGGGUGAAGAAGGCCUUCGGGUUGUAAAGCCCUUUUGUUGGGAAAGAAAAGCAGCAGGUUAAUACCCCGCUGUUCUGACGGUACCCAAAGAAUAAGCACCGGCUAACUUCGUG
This 492-nucleotide ribosomal RNA is filed under the name uncultured bacterium. RNAcentral's name for it is "partial 16S ribosomal RNA". It matches the Rfam family "Bacterial small subunit ribosomal RNA", at positions 29 to 507 of the family's 1533-position model. The record is from RNAcentral.